GAUGAACGCUGGCGGCGUGCUUAACACAUGCAAGUCGAACGGAAAGGCCAGUGCUUGCACUGGUGCUUGAGUGGCGAACGGGUGAGUAACACGUGGGUGAUCUGCCCUGCACUUUGGGAUAAGCCUGGGAAACUGGGUCUAAUACCAGAUAGGACCAUGCUUUGGAUGGUGUGGUGGAAAGUUUUUUCGGUGUGGGAUGAGCUUGCGGCCUAUCAGCUUGUUGGUGGGGUAAUGGCCUACCAAGGCGUCGACGGGUAGCCGGCCUGAGAGGGUGUACGGCCACAUUGGGACUGAGAUACGGCCCAGACUCCUACGGGAGGCAGCAGUGGGGAAUAUUGCACAAUGGGCGCAAGCCUGAUGCAGCGACGCCGCGUGGGGGAGGACGGCCUUCGGGUUGUAAACUCCUUUCGCAACUGACGAAGCUUUUUGUGACGGUAGGUUGAGAAGAAGCACCGGCUAACUACGUG
This 467-nucleotide ribosomal RNA is filed under the name uncultured bacterium. RNAcentral describes it as "partial 16S ribosomal RNA". It matches the Rfam family "Bacterial small subunit ribosomal RNA", at positions 28 to 507 of the family's 1533-position model. The record is from RNAcentral.